AUUCAAGUCAGAUUAUUCUCCAGAAAUUCAUGUGCAAAUCAGAAAAUCUCCUCUUUUUUAAAAAGUCUAGGUAGUCUUGGUCAUAGAAUAAGAUUCUGUGGUCUUGGUUAAAUUAUUUGGAGUCCGCUGGUGUUCACAAAAUUUCGCGGGCUCUUGUAGCAAUUUGGCGCCAUUUUGAUGAAAUUUAUAUUUUUCUUAAUAAAUUUCAUAUUUUGUAUCGAUUUCUGGCCAGCUUUGCCUACUAUUUCACAACCUUUGUCUUUUAUUCCUUUAUUACUAUUUAUUGAAUGGAAAGAAUAAUCGAAUUUAAUAAAUAUUGGGUUUAAAAGGUCUGUACCUACAGUAUUUCACAGCGAAGGCAAGUUUAUAAUGUUUGUUUAUACGAAGUUCAUAGACAUCAGAAGGAAUAGCAUGGCAUUGUUUGUUAGGCGCAAGAAAGUCAACACCUCGAUAUAUUAAACGGAUUUACGUAUAAAAUAAGGUAAGAAAACAUUAUACGAAUAAUGAAUGUUUAUGAGUGCCAAUUCGAAGCUUCCCGCCCGUAUUCUAAUUUCUAAAAGCUCACUCACACUCGAUGAGUGGAAGUUCAAUCUGAGCUUCUCUCGAGUGUCAUUGCUGUUUUUGAAUAGCUGGAGGGUUAGUGCAUAUCUAUAGGUUUAAUAGUGUCGUACCAAUUCAAAAAUAGCAUUGACACUCAAGAGAAGCUCAGAUUGAACUUCCACGCAUUGAGUGUGAGUGAGCUUUUAGAAUACGGGCGUUAUAAAUGUCAUUCUAUAAAUGGUAAAAAUAAUAAUCUAGCAGUAGAAACAGGGGCGUAAAUGUGGGGGGUGUUCACCCCCCCCCCCCGAGAAAUGAUCCAGUCGGUCUCAAACUAUGUGCAGUCGGUCUCACAAUUAUGCGCUUGUUUACACGCAGUGUUUUGCGAAGCAAAUGAAAUAUUUUCGAAACUCGAGAUAGACUCAAACUAUUGAGUAUUGAGUUGGAAAUUUGCUCAAACGCAUCAAACAGCUCAGAAAUAAUAUGAAGAAAUAUUACGUACUUAUUUUGCAAGUUUAUGAACGAAUUAUCAGUCAUUCCAUUUACUUUCCAAACAUGGAGAUAUCUACUUUACUCUACUACCAAACGCGAUGAAUCUCGAUCAAAUAUCUUAUCACAAUAUUUCUCCGGUCCCUAAACUAUAUUUUUAAGAUGCAAAGUGCAAAAACGAAUUUCUAGCCGAGUUAUAUUAGGAAGUAUGUUCACAUGUAACACAAUAUGCAUAUGAAUUUUGUUACCAAAGAGUUUUUUGUGCCUACUGCAAUCAAGAAAUUAUUAACGGAGCGAAAAAUUGUUUCCACUGACUAAGCGAUGUUUCCAAUUGUUGCUUACAGUCAGGCCCAUAACUAGGUAAAUGAGUCAAUCGAGUUCAAGUUCAAUGACAGACUGUAGUUCUCUCCAUGUAAAGAAGCAUUAUUCUUGCCCUACAGUGACGUAAGAAAUGGGAGGCUGUGUGGGUGUACAAGUACCCCAAUAACAAAAGUGCGGGCCAGCGCCCAAAUAUUACAACAAUUGAGCACAAAUGCUUUUUUAUUAUGCACCUGAUCAAUGAUGUUCGACCAAAAAUAUUUGUAAUUCUUAUCCUCAGGAUUGGGGGCAAACUACAUUAUAAAAUUAUAGUCAUUGUGUCACUGUAAUAUGAAAUUGAUUUUUCCUUUGAACUGCUCCCAGAAUGCAGGAAAUAGCAUUUCUAAGCCUUAGAAAAUCAAAAAUUUGGGCCCCCAGACCCCCCAGAAGUGUCUCAGUCAAUCAAAAAUCCUAUAGUUACGCACCUGACAGUUCCGCAUCAGCCGAGCGCAGCUUUUCAAAGCUGAAAUCAGUGAAAACUGUUAUGUGUUCAGUAAUGAACCAGGAAAGCCUUGGUGAACUCUUGACUCUUGCGUGUGAGCGCGAUCUAACAGACACGAUCGAUCUUCAGACGAAAUCGCUAAUCCGUGGUCAAACCUUACUAAGCGCGGACAUUUAAUAAAAAUAUAACGUUUCACAGCAAACUGUACGUGUUCUUGCAAAAUUCCUAAUAAAUGCCAUCAAUUUCCAUGCUUUGUACUCAAUUUUAUUGCAACACACCAACUCACCAAGAGUCGGUCUGGAUUCACAUUUCAGUGGUGGGUCGGUCUCAUUUUAUGACUACACCCUCCCAGUCAAAAUCGAUAUGUCCGCCCCUGAGUAGAAAAGAUAACUGAAAAGAUUAUUUAAUGCCCGACUCUUUAAUAUCCAAACCCUUCCUUUAUAUAAACCCUGACUUAAUUUGAUUACAAAUAGUCAUGUAGUCACAUAGACUUAGGGCCUGUUCAUAUGGGGAAAAGUUCCAAUCUCGGUUAGACUCAGUUCCGAAAUAUCGCAUACUCGAACCGACCUGACCGUGUAGCUCAGUUGGCAGAGCAUUGGGCUAGUAUUCCAGAGGUCGUAGGUUUGAUUCCCACCAUGGCCAGGUAUAUUUUUCAAGCCUGCCUGGUGUGGAUACACACUCAGAGUAACAUUGCAAGCAUCUUAUUCACCUGAGUAUACACUACACCAACACAGCAAAUAGCCAAAUAAUUUUGUUCUGUUCAUGUGAAGAAGUUUCUGAUGCGACAGGAAGUUUUCCCGCGGGAAAGUUGUGGCUAUGUUGUGUUCAUAUGGGAAAAACACCCUGGUCACAGAGAUCUCGCCUGUCAAUAAGUGAGAUCUCAGUACACGGGAAAACUUUUCAUCUUUUCGAACUACUUUUAUAGCAUUUUUGUCUAUUUAGGCUUUUUGGUAUCAUUUGGUUAUAGAUUCAUGUCUCGCUCUUUAUGAAUGCUAACCUUAACCGCUAACCCUAAUUCAUAAACAGCGAGACAUGAAUCUAUAUCCUAUCAUUUUCAUGAUGAGGCUGCUGACCAAAAUGAAAAAUAUCACAGGCUCAGAAGUAUUGAAACAGUCGGUAUUUCUUGCCAGUGUCGAAACUUUUACUUCAAAACCCUGCUAUCGAUAGUAUUGAGUAUUUGGUAUCGGUAUUAGCCCAUCCUUAGCCAAUGAUAAGAAAGCUGUGGAUUGAUUCAACUACUUGAAGGAGAACUUUGAAUAUAUAAAAGUGACCAUGUAACAAAAAAUAAACCAAUCAGAUGGAUUUAGUUGAAACAAAGUGUAAAAAAGAUUAUGUAAAUCACAUUACAGAAUAUAUUAAUACAAAUAUACAGAAAACUGCAACAAAUACCGUACAAAAAAUACAUGAAUAAUAGUAUGGAAUAAUUAUAAUAAAAUUAUAAUGUGAGAAUUUAAUUUAAAGUACUGUCAAUGUCUUCUUUUGACGGGCAAAGACAGAUUGUUUCUUAUGUUUAGCUCUGUCUGUCUUUGCCUGUCAAAGCAGACAUUAACAGUACUGUUAAUUAAAUUCUUAACUUUUUCCAUACUUGUUUCGUAUAUUUUUUUGUGUUUUUUUUUUUGUAUUUGUUGUAGUUUUCUCUAUAUUUGUAUAAAUAUAGUCCGUGAUGCAGUGAUGUUUUCCAGGGGGGACGCGGGGGAACGCCGUCCCCUCACCUUUUUUACCAGGGGAACGGCAUCCCCCCUGCCAAAAUCAAACGUGGGGGAACGCUGUUCCCCCUGGCAGGGAUUAAAUAUGAGUGAAGAAAUAAUUUUGGCAUCACUUGUUCUACAUACAUGUUAUUUUUGGCAAUAAUUGCUCAGCAUCCUCCCUGAAACUUGAUAUACUUGCAUAAAAUUCUAGCAGACUAGCACAAAAAUACGAGAGUCUGAUAAUUGACAUCCGCUUAGAUAGGUACUUACCAGUCAUAAGCGCGGAUAACGUCUCUCGCACAAUCGCGAAAUUAAAUAUUCAAAUGAACAAUAAAAUGAUCAAUGGGGACAUAAAAUGAUUCAAUAAGAACAUUAACAUGAUUGAAUGGAUAGGAUCAAAGGAUAUCUAUUAUCUAAGCUUAUUUAGUUACUCGCGAAAACGUGAUAUUCAACUUGCAAAGUCGCCUGUUUGCCGAGUUACUCGCAUAGCAUCGAAAUUCGAAAGUCAUUGUGGUUUUAUUUUCUUUUUGACAUCUACCACGCACAAGCUAGGUGUUUUUAGGGACAUGUUGUACUACGCAAUAGCUUAGUUUUUGAAGUAGAUUUAUGUACUGUUCACUAUGACUAUGCAUGAAGCCACGCCCAAUCGAGUGACCACGCCCAUUUGAUUUUCAAGACCGUUCCCCCAUUUCUAAAUGUAUGUGUAUUCCCAGUCCAUCCGAUACCAAUCGUACGGAUCGACAACAUUUUUGAGACCUCCCUUAGCCACUCGAACGCUUGAGCACUAGAUUCACGGAUCGACAAUUCAUAUUUUCCGAUCGUGAAUUCCCAGUCCAUCCGUUACCAAUGGUACGGAUAGACAACAUUUUCGAGGCCUCCCUUAGCCACACCCAAGCUUGAGCACCAGAUUCACGGAUCCACAAUUCAUAUUUUCCGAUCGUGAAUUCCCAGUCCAUCCGAUACCAAUCGUACGGAUCGACAACAUUUUUGAGACCUCCCUUAGCCACUAGAACGCUUGAGCACUAGAUUCACGGAUCGACAAUUCAUAUUUUCCGAUCGUGAAUUUCCAGUUCAUCCAUUACCAAUCGUACGGAUCGACAACAUUUUUGAGACCUCCCGUAGCCACACCCAAGCUUUAACACUAGAUUCACGGAUCGACAUUUCAUAUUUUCCGAUCGUGAAGCCCGGUCCAUCCGUUACCAAUCGUACGGAUCGACGUUCAGUCUUUACCAACCGUUAUGACUAUACAAGUGUUCCAUCCGUGCCCAAAAUUUCGCGAAACGAACGAUCCGUAUGCAUGCGACAGUAUUGGACAACCAUCUCUAAAAUUAGCAAAACAUCGCUGCCGUGAUGUGACGGACUGCACUUAAUUUUGCUUGCACUUUGUUUUGACUAAAUCCAUCUGAUUGGUUGAUUUUUUGUCACAUGAUCACUUUUAUGUUCACUACUAAGUAGUAUAAAGGCUCGUGUAAUCCCCCGCUACUAACUUCCUGACAAAGGGCCUUCACUCAAAAUUUUAAAGUUCUCCUUGUAUAUUUCUGGUAUCCCUAUCAAUCUGAAGCUAAAACAAAAAAUUAAAUAGAGACAAAAUUAGAUUGUAAAAUGAUUGUCAAAUAGACUACACACUUGUGUCUUGCUGCCUUAGGUUCCUCCAGUAAUUAUGCACUGGUCUGGUCACUCUAGAGCAUUGAAAUUUCAAGUUUCCUGGUUUGCUAUAGCUUGUGCCAAAUCGAGUUUCACAGAAAGCCCUGAUGCACUGUACUAAUAGAACAAUGCUUGUUUUCUAGAUGAAAAUGGGUGAUACUGGAGUAACACAAACAAGUAGUAUAAUGAAUUACUUUCAAAGAGAAAAAUCACCAGUGGACACUAAAACUGACACAUUCACAAAGGACAAAAAAAUCGUCGAGAGCCCAAUUUUGGUAGACCCGAAGGAAGAUGCUUUGGGCAUUGCCAUAGGUAAGAAAUACACGCACAAAUAAUACAAUACAUACACAAUA
This is a non-coding RNA of Paramuricea clavata, 5510 nucleotides long. The record is from the annotation of a GenBank genome assembly. Lineage: Eukaryota; Metazoa; Cnidaria; Anthozoa; Malacalcyonacea; Plexauridae.